RNAcentral lists this long non-coding RNA (775 nucleotides) under Limulus polyphemus (Atlantic horseshoe crab). RNAcentral's name for it is "uncharacterized LOC111088401, transcript variant X2". The record is from RNAcentral. Lineage: Eukaryota; Metazoa; Arthropoda; Merostomata; Xiphosura; Limulidae.
UCACUUCUUACCAUUCUUUACCCAAGAAAAAAUAAGAUAAAACUCUUCUACUCCUGAAAUCAUACCGUUAGCCCUUUUCUAAUCCAUUUCCAGUAAGUCGUAUCUUUCUUAGAAUAGGAUGUGGCCUAACUAGUACUUUAUAGAGAAAAUAAUUACCUUUUUAACACUUAUAAUCAAUAUGUGUAUACAUUCACCUUGCAUCAGAGCACUCUACUGAUGGCUUGAUCAACUUAAAUAUUACUUUCCAACUAUACUGAACUUGUGAUAUAAAUUAUGAUUACCCAAAUCCAUUAUGUCAUUUGUUAACUAUUUGUCCCACUUAACAAUUGAUCCAAGUCAUCAUGUAGCAUCUCAACAUCGUCAACAAAGCUAGAAAUACUGAAGAAUUUAAUGUCAUUAACAAACUUUAGUAAUUAAUGCCAGUAAGAAAACACAGCCCCAAGCACGGACCCCUGAAGCACUCCACUAGUAUUGUUAUUGAACAAUGUUCAGUAUUGACUCCUGUGGUAUUGUUAUUAAACAAGGUUACAUAUUAACUCCACUAGUAUUGUUAUUAAACAUGGUUACAUAUUAACUCCACUAGUAUUGUUAUUAAACAAGGUUCCAUAUUGACUCCACUAGUAUUGUUAUUAAACAAGGUUCCAUAUUGACUCCUGUAGUAUUGUUAUUAAACAUGGUUCCAUAUUGACUCCACUAGUAUUGUUAUUAAACAAGGUUCCAUAUUAACUCCACUAUUAUUGUUAUUAAACAUGGUUACGUAUUGACUCCACUAGUA